UACAGAGACUGCAAGCGUUAUUCGGAUUCACUGGGCGUAAAGGGUGCGCAGGCGGCCGGGUGUGUCAGAUGUGAAAUCCCGAGGCUUAACCUCGGAACUGCGUCUGAAACUACUCGGCUAGAGUAUUGGAGAGGGUAACGGAAUUCACGGUGUAGCAGUGAAAUGCGUAGAUAUCGUGAGGAACACCAGAGGCGAAGGCGGUUACCUGGACAAUUACUGACGCUCAGGCACGAAAGCGUGGGGAGCAAAAGGG
This 253-nucleotide ribosomal RNA is filed under the name uncultured bacterium. RNAcentral's name for it is "partial 16S ribosomal RNA". It matches the Rfam family "Bacterial small subunit ribosomal RNA", at positions 524 to 776 of the family's 1533-position model. The record is from RNAcentral.